CUCAGCACGCACUUCCUCCUGCCCAGGGACCAAUCAGCACACACUUCCUCCAUUUUGAGCCCAUAAAAACCCCAGCUUCAGCUGGACUCAAGGUAAGUAAGGACUACCCUUAGGAGCUGCCCGCUUUGGGUCUCCUCUCUGCUGAGCUGUUCUGCUACUCAGUAAAACUUCUCCACCUUGCUCACCUUCCAGUUGUCCACGUAACCUCAUUCUUCCUGGACAAAGGACCAGAAUUCGGGACCCACCCAACAGUGGGCAUGAAAAGGGCUGCAACACUUUCCUGGCCAACUCACCAAACUGUGGUGGUGACAUGCUCCCAUUUGCUGGACUGCAGGAGUGAAAAGCAGUGACACUUCUGGGGGCCGAGACAUCAGGAUUUCCCAAGCCAGGGCUGUAACACUAUAGCCUUCCUGCCUUCUGCCUGCAUUGGGCAGCUGCCCCAUGUGACAGGAAGUGGCAGUGGAGCUGGGCCAGCCUGGGAGCCGCCGGCUGGGGUGAGGUGGUGGGACUGAACAAGCUGAAACCUGCUCCCCCUGCUCGCCGAGCCGCGGGUGGAGAGAAUGAGAGAGCACGCCUGACCCACUCCUUGAGGCUCUGCAGUUGCUGGCGUCCCCAAGUUUUUAGGUGCCACCGCAUCCCCCUUUUCCAGACACCAGCACCUGCACCAGAAACUACGUGUGGUACGCCUGCUCCAGCUGCAGCCUGGCAAGGAGCCGGCACCUCUGCCAGCACCCAGAGCUGCCUGCCCCACCACAGCUGGCCGGACCCUGUGUUAGCUCUCUCACACACCCUUCAGUGCUCUGAGCCUGGUUUGCCCUCAUCAGGCGUGGGAUCCGGGUUGGGCGAACUGAGUGCAGCCUGCCGGGCUGAGUGGGUGGAACGAGCACAGUGGGAGUGAGUGAAACUCAAGCAGGGGCGCCACAGGCCACAAUGGUUCCCGGCUGGCAGAGUGACACCUGAAGGAUCCCGUGACAUUUCGAUUAUUUCUGCUCAUAGCAUAAACUCUUAUAUACACGAAUAGUACUUUUGCUUUAAUUUCAAAAGACUUGUAAAUGGACAGUCUUCACUUUUUCAUCAAUCUAAUCAGCAGAAUACUGAGACUACGAAGUUAACAUGAACACCCUCCAGUGGCUGGCUCUGCAGCACAACAGAAACAUUUUUACCCU
This 1166-nucleotide long non-coding RNA is filed under the name Homo sapiens (human). Its description in RNAcentral is "HSALNT0025082". Lineage: Eukaryota; Metazoa; Chordata; Mammalia; Primates; Hominidae. The record is from RNAcentral.